Molecule: long non-coding RNA, 676 nt
Organism: Gopherus evgoodei (Goodes thornscrub tortoise)
Lineage: Eukaryota; Metazoa; Chordata; Testudines; Testudinidae
Exons: 5
Source: RefSeq, a predicted model, not a curated record
ACCAGAGGUGCCAACUCUGGGCUUCUAACUCCAACUGUGACCCAGGGCUCUGGCACCUGGCCUCUGGAUUCCAGCUCUGACCCUGGACUCUGAUUUCCUGGCUACGGACCCCUGCUCCAAUCUCUAGACAUGACCACCAUGUUCUGAUCACCAACAGCUUGGACUUGAAAUGCUGAUACCUGUAGAAUGUAUUCAGUGGUGUCGUCAUGAUGAAAACUCCAGGAUGCUGAUGCUAUGAAAGGUCCGAAUUUUUGUCAUCUUUGCCUUUCUGGAUAUAUCACCUGAAAGUACAAUAUGUAGGUGUCCCCUGCAGGAAGCAGCAGGGAGGAGAUUUUAAAGUGACCUGUCCAGAGGGCCAAAUCACAGGAAGAGGCAGACAGACCAUUGGCAGGAGGUACCCAAUGAGGAGAGAGCUGCUAUAGCAUGCCCGGCUACAAGGAGGUGCUAGUGGUGAAGAGGAUGGCAUAGAGAAGACAGAAGUGGAUCAGAGAGGAUGUCUAUAUAUGGUGAGAUAAGGCUUGCAAUCAGCAAACCACAACAUGCAGGCAGGCUUCCUGUAUAUUCCAGCUUGGUAUAGUGAUUAGAGUGGUGGGGUGGAGUCAGAACUCUUGGGCUAUAUGCCAGACAUUCUGAGGGAAUGUUUGCCAGUGGUGAUACCAGUCAGUUCUGUGUUCUU